GGAGGAAUGAAAAGCAAUAGCUGAUUGCAUUAAGAAAGUGGUCCCACUUUAUAUUAAAAACGUGAUGACUUUUUAAAUAAAUGGGUCCAUUUUUAUAUAAUAAUGUAGUUACUACUUGGUAGUUUAAAAUUCUAGAUAGAAUUAUGAUGAUGACAUUAUCUAUCUAUAAGUCUUGACCAAAAUACGUGCCAGCAGUCGCGGUAAUACGUAGAAGACAAGUGUUAUUCAUCUUUAUUAGGUUUAAAGAGUACCAAGACGGUUAAUAAAGCCCAAAACACAUGAACACAGGGGACACAUUAACUAGAGUUAUAUGAAAGGAAGCACUAAGGUACUGUUGAGUGUAGAGAUAAAAUUCUAUCAUACCAGAUAAACGGCACAGAUUUAUGCGAAGGCAUCUUCUUAUGUAAUAACUGACGUUGUAGGACGAAGGCUUUUGAAGUGAAGAGGAUUAGAUACCCUUGUAAUCUAAGCAGAAAAUGAUGAAUGUCAUAGGUUUAAUAAAAAUAAGCAGCAGAGACAGCAGAGACAGCAGGGUCUAUUCUAUUAUUGAGUCUAUAAAUGAAAGUGUAAGCAUUCCACCUCAAGAGUAAUUUGGCAACAUUGGAACUGAAAUCAUUAGACCGUUUCUGAAACCAGUAGUGAAGUAUGUUGUUUAAUUAGAUGAUACACAAAAAACCUUACCACAAUUUGAAUAUAUAUCAUUAAAGAUAUUUACAAGCGUUGCACGGCUGUCUUCAGUUAAUGUCGUGAGAUUUUGGUUAGUUCCAUAAAAUUAACGUAAACCCUCGUUUUAUUUAUAAAUAAAAUUUAGCAUGCUGUUUCGAAUAGAUUUGAGUAUAAGAAAAGGGACU
Molecule: ribosomal RNA, 851 nt
Filed under: Pseudocyphellaria rainierensis
Lineage: Eukaryota; Fungi; Ascomycota; Lecanoromycetes; Peltigerales; Lobariaceae
Description: SSU rRNA
Rfam family: Bacterial small subunit ribosomal RNA
Source: RNAcentral